AACCUAGCACACCUGCGGUGUGUACCUGCGGAAGGAUCAUUACCUAUUUGGCCUUUGUGGCUACGCUCGGGGGGCCUUUGGUCCCCGUCUGCACCCUUGUCUUUGCGCACUCAUGUUUCCUCGGUGGGCUUGCCUGCCGCUAGGACAACCUAAACUCUUGAAUUUUCAAUCAGCGUCUGAUAACAAUAAUAUUUACAACUUUUAACAAUGGAUCU
Molecule: unclassified non-coding RNA, 215 nt
Filed under: soil metagenome
Description: partial contains 5.8S ribosomal RNA, internal transcribed spacer 2, and large subunit ribosomal RNA
Source: RNAcentral